RNAcentral lists this ribosomal RNA (460 nucleotides) under uncultured bacterium. Its description in RNAcentral is "partial 16S ribosomal RNA". It matches the Rfam family "Bacterial small subunit ribosomal RNA", at positions 338 to 795 of the family's 1533-position model. The record is from RNAcentral.
CCUACGGGUGGCAGCAGUGAGGAAUAUUGGUCAAUGGACGCAAGUCUGAACCAGCCAUGCCGCGUGCAGGAAGACGGCUCUAUGAGUUGUAAACUGCUUUUGUACGAGGGUAAACGCAGAUACGCGUAUCUGUCUGAAAGUAUCGUACGAAUAAGGAUCGGCUAACUCCGUGCCAGCAGCCGCGGUAAUACGGAGGAUUCAAGCGUUAUCCGGAUUUAUUGGGUUUAAAGGGUGCGUAGGCGGUCGGAUAAGUUAGAGGUGAAAUCCCGAGGCUCAACUUCUGUACGGCACUGGAUACUUGGGGGCGAGAGUGCGGUAGAGGUAAAGGGAAUGCGUGGUGUAGCGGUGAAAUGCUUAGAUAUCAGGAGGAACAUCGGUGGCGUAAGCGCUUUACUGGGCCGUAAUUGACGCUGAGGAACGAAGGUGUGGGUAUCGAACAGGAUUAGAUACCCGGGUAGUC